Long non-coding RNA from Ziziphus jujuba (common jujube), 1760 nucleotides. RefSeq lists it as uncharacterized. NCBI's taxonomy places the organism in Eukaryota, Viridiplantae, Streptophyta, Magnoliopsida, Rosales, Rhamnaceae. The transcript is spliced from 7 exons. The record is from RefSeq and is a predicted model, not a curated record.
CAUUCAUGCACACUGGCAUUUGCAAAUCUUAACCGGUUGCAUCUAGUAGCUAAUUAACUAUCCAAAUUCUGAGGAGUGCUCAAAGCAGAAAGCCAAGUUUGCCCAUUUCCCCUGUUCGCAUUUGGUUCCUCUCCUCGGCGGCGAUGGACCAAACUCAGAAUCUCAGACCACGGUUCACUCCCUGGAUCACGAUAUCCUCUGCGUCAUCUUUUCCUUGCUCGACCUCUUUGACCUGUCCGAUGCUUUGUCAUCUGCAAAUCCUGGAAUGCGAUUAUGAAUAAUUCUAAGUUGCUGCAACUGUUCUACUACAAGCAGUAGCAGACGGGUCUCGCGGGUGUUUGUUUCCAAUAAGUCUAGUGAUUCGGAGGAAUCGUUGAACUAAUAUUUGGAUGGACUUCGUAGAUUGGCUUUGCAAGAGGGUGUUAUUGAUACUGAUUAUUGAUCAAGGGAGAGACUUCGCUGGGGAAGAUAUCACUUUUAUGUAAACUUGAUUUCUUUUAGGGUGGAUCAUUGCCGAAUGAAGAUGGGCUUACUUCUUACCUGUGUAGGUGAGAAGGUGUUUUCCUCCUGAUUUUUUUCUUUCAUCCUUGUCUGGCUUCCUUCCAUCUUUCACUCAAUUUGCCCUGAUUCUCAUUUUGAGGUGAUUGUUUCAAAAUACCGUUGCACCAUCAUAUUCCAAUCCUGAGACAACCCCAAUUGUCAGACUUAUUCAUGAGAGCAAAGCUUUCCCUGCAGGCAUUAGGACUUUGCCUUUCAACAUAAGUUCGCACUAAAUAUUUGCUGGGUCAACCUCUGGACAUACUUCUUGUUGGGACCUUAGGCAUGCAAUUAUGAGCUCUCUGCUAUUUUGACGGUAAGUUCCAGAGUAAAUUAACUAUUAGGUUUGCAUUCUGGUCAGGCCCCAGUUAGGUCUUACUAAGUAUGAAACUUGCAAUUGAGCGACCAUGUUCUGUUAUGUUAUUUCGAGGACAAGGAGAAGAUCAUGGGAGACAAGGGUCAGUCUCAAUGUCAUAUAUUCUGUACAACUACUUCAGAAUGAUAAAUCAACUAUGCUUGUUUGGUUGGUGGAAUAGAUGUGGUGCGUUAUGCAUUUUGAACCAGAACGCAGGUGAAAAUUGUCUCUAGCAUUGUCUUGGAAGGCAACAGAUCAAAUUUUCAACACCCACAUGGUGCCCUUGAAAGAUUUAAAGGAAGAAGGAUUAAGAAGAUACUUGCAUUAACAGCAUUCCAAGAAGUGUACCAGUAUCUUGCUUGGCUGUCAGGAUGAAGAAAGUUGCCACCACACAGAAAUGACAAUGAGAAGUUUUCAGAGACAUGAGUCAGUCUGAACGUCUAAUAUUCUGUACACCUACUCCAGAAUGAUAAAUCACUAUGGUUGUUGGUGGAAUAGAUGGUGUGCUACGCAUUUUGAACCAGAACCUAGGUGAAAUUGUUUCUAGCAUUAUCUUGGAAGGCAAUAGUUAAAGUUUUCAACACCGGCAUGGUGCCAUUGAAAGAUUCAAAUGAAGAAGGCUUAAGAAGAUACUCUGGUUAACAGCAUUCCAAGAAGUGCCCGACCACCACUAUCUUGCUUGGCUGUCGAGAUGAGGAAAGUGAAAGUUGCCACGACACCGAUACGCAGGUACAUCAGAGUGAGGAAAUUCAAGGAGUAAGUUAGAGCACAAUGUUAAAUACUAGGAAAUUGAUCUUGUAUAAUUGUUAUUGUUUCCUUUCAUAGAAACUAUUAAAAUAUCAUAUGCUGUUCGAUUUUCCAGAUCCAA